RNAcentral lists this transfer RNA (73 nucleotides) under Diaphorina citri (Asian citrus psyllid). It matches the Rfam family "tRNA". From Rfam's summary of the family: Transfer RNA (tRNA) molecules are approximately 80 nucleotides in length. The record is from Rfam by way of RNAcentral. Lineage: Eukaryota; Metazoa; Arthropoda; Insecta; Hemiptera; Psyllidae.
GCCUAGUUAGCUUAGUUGGUAGUGCGUCUGCCUUGUAAGCGCUAGGUCGCCGGUUCGAUUCCCGCCCGGGGCG